AUGGAGCGUUCUAAUCAGGCAAUUUGCAAAGGCACAGGAAACGAGCAGGGUCCUUAUGGCGGCUUCGGCUCGGACCUGGGGGGUGCAGGCGGCAGGAAGCUGGACCUGGGCCUCAUCAUGGAGCAGGUGAAGGUGCUGAUCACCGUGGCCAACACACAGGAGCUGCUGCAGAGGAUAACGGACAAGUGUUUCCACAAGUGCAUCGGGAAGCCGGGGGCUGCUGGACAACUUGGAGCAGAAGUGCCUCGCCAUGUGCCUAGACCACUACACGGAGCCCUGGAACACCAUGUCACGCGCCUACAACUCGAGGCUACAGCGGGAGCGCACCAACAUGUGA
Molecule: RNA transcript, 337 nt
Organism: Ochotona curzoniae (black-lipped pika)
Lineage: Eukaryota; Metazoa; Chordata; Mammalia; Lagomorpha; Ochotonidae
Gene name: mitochondrial import inner membrane translocase subunit Tim13-like
Exons: 2
Source: RefSeq, a predicted model, not a curated record